This 477-nucleotide ribosomal RNA is filed under the name Xerocomus subtomentosus. Its description in RNAcentral is "eukaryotic LSU rRNA". The stretch from base 1 to 106 matches the Rfam family "5.8S ribosomal RNA", at positions 50 to 154 of the family's 154-position model. Lineage: Eukaryota; Fungi; Basidiomycota; Agaricomycetes; Boletales; Boletaceae. The record is from RNAcentral.
GAAUUGCGAUAAGUAAUGUGAAUUGCAGAUUUCCAGUGAAUCAUCGAAUCUUUGAACGCACCUUGCGCUCCUUGGUAUUCCAAGGAGCAUGCCUGUUUGAGUGUCAUUGAAUUCUCAACCAUCUCUUGAUUGAUUUCAAGAUCUUGGCUUGGAGUUGGGACUUGCUGGCACACGUCAGCUCUCCUGAAAUUCAUUAGCAAUGGCAGCUUGCUAGUCUUUUGACGUGCACGGCCUUUUGACGUGAUAAUGAUCGUCAUGGCUGGAGCGUCAUACUUAUUUGGAUUAUGCAUGAAUGGCCCAUGGCUUAUAAUGUUAUAUUAGUUUUCACUCGUCUCGAAAGCAAUGCCAAGUUUUAGUUACUAGUCAGUUCACAAGGCUGGCGAACACAGAGCAAGGUUUUGUCUGGACUCGGACUUGUGUUUCUAAUUUUAUUCUAAACUUGACCUCAAAUCAGGCAGGACUACCCGCUGAACUUAA